GCUGGUUUGGCUCAGUAGGUAGAGUGUCAGUCUCUGAACUGAAGGGUCUUGGGUUCUAUUCCUGUGAAUGGCA
This 73-nucleotide transfer RNA is filed under the name Myotis davidii. It matches the Rfam family "tRNA". From Rfam's summary of the family: Transfer RNA (tRNA) molecules are approximately 80 nucleotides in length. Their secondary structure includes four short double-helical elements and three loops (D, anti-codon, and T loops). Lineage: Eukaryota; Metazoa; Chordata; Mammalia; Chiroptera; Vespertilionidae. The record is from Rfam by way of RNAcentral.